AUGUUCAAGUUGUGCAACAUGAAGCCAGCUUUGCCAACCACUUUCCCUGUGCCAGAUUUCCAUGAGCGAGAGUUGUGUGACAAGAUUGAUUUUGAUGUUGACCAGAAUCUGUUCUUCUCGAGUGAGGCUGAAAAGAACCCAGUUGACAUGGAGGAAGCAGGGAAGGGUCUUGAUUGGGUUCAUUCGAAGGAGAAAUACAAGGAAUAUUUGAAGCAGCUUCCAGAUAUCAACUCUAGCAAGAGCAAGGCAGCAUCUGUGGCAAACCCUCAUGUGGUCCAGAAGAGUAAAGGAGUUACAAUGAAGAAGAAUCCGAAGUUGCCUCUAACCAAGCAACAGAUGUCGAGGGCAGAUGCAGAAAUAAAUGUGGACAAGGAAGCUGUGGCGCAAACUGUUGUGCCAACUAUCAAGGGGAAGAUUGCUCUGUCAAUAGCCCCACCUAAACCAGCUAAGCAGCAAAAGAUUGUCAAGUUUGCCAAGGGCACAAAGUAG
RNAcentral lists this ribosomal RNA (489 nucleotides) under Triticum aestivum (bread wheat). Its description in RNAcentral is "partial small subunit ribosomal RNA". The record is from RNAcentral. Lineage: Eukaryota; Viridiplantae; Streptophyta; Magnoliopsida; Poales; Poaceae.